UCUUGGCUACCAGGGGGCCGUCACCGCGGGGUCUCCUGAGGCACUGGCGGUCCUGUCGGAAUACCCUCCAUCAACGGGAUCAGACCAAGCCUAGUGUGAGAAGAUGAGCAGGCUGGUGCGAGAAACAUUCACAGCCAAGGGCUGGUACUCCGCUGUGAUGCAGGAGGUGGAGCACCUGAAGUUCAACCUCGCUGUGAUUCAGGCCACACUGUAGGCCGCCGAGGGGCAGACAUCCACAGCCCACACGGUGGUUGGGGACACUCAUGCCCGUGCUGCAAGUAAGUUGAGGCCCCGAAAUCUCAUUCCGUCCUCCUCCUACCCUAGCUUUUGGCGAGCGCAUGCCUUCUCAAUUUUAGGCCUGGAGAAGGAGUUGGCUGUGUCCCAUGGUGAGACGGAGAUGCUACGUCAGCACCUCAAUGACUUGGAGGAUUGCCAUGAUGUCCUGCCCUGGGCCGCGCUCGACGAGGUGGGGACUCUGGGCACUAGGGGAAUGCUGCUGCCCGACCGUCUUCAGGGCCCCCACGCGUAGGUAUAGCGUGCGGUGGAGCUCGGCAUCCCUCGGGGUGCCAUGCUAGCAUUGGUUGCCACUCAGCUCCAUUCUAGCCGCGACCUACGCCUGCCGGAACCCACACUUCUGGAGCGGGAGCAGCCAGCUGAUGACUUCGCCGGGGAUGCGGGCCUCAUUGCUGCCGAAUUUAGCAUCACUAACUGGCAGAGGUAGACCUAGACUACUCUGCUCAGACUACCCAGCGAGCAGGCACUCGGCUGGACGACGGAAGGGUCCUCAGCGGAUCAGGAUGAAGGUUUAACAUAGAUGCCCGGAUAUCUAGGGAUUUUAGCCAACCUGCGUCCUUGUAAACUACCAGAGUAGAUCUUUUCUUACUUGUAACCCACAGCUCCUAGGCUAUAUAAAGGGGUCGUGGGGGGAUCCAUAGGCAAGAUAUCUCUCAAACCCUAAUACAUCAACCAACAGGAUGCAAUAUUUGAUGCUCGGAGCUGUACUAUAUCUCAACUAUGCUUUGUUUGAAGGAAAUAUUGAUUACUCCAAAUCUUAAUGAAUUUUAUCUCAUUUAUUUGGCAGUCAUACGUGGGGACCAGAGGUCCUCAUGCAGUAAACACUGCUUGGGCAAUGUUAGCUUUAAUUUACGGUGGUCAGGUGGAACGAGAUCCAACACCUCUAUAUCAAGCUGCAAAAGAAUUGAUCAACAUGCAACUAGAGUCAGGCGACUUUCCCCAACAAGAACAUGUUGGGAGCUUCAACAGCUCCCUAUACUUCAAUUACGGCAACUACCGCAACCUGUUCCCGAUCUGGGCUCUUGGGGAGUUCCGCCGUCGGCUUCUUGCAAAAAAAGAACUUAGACCAACGUACUUGAUGUCUUGAUGAUUCGCAAUUAAGGGUAACGGAAUCUGCAAAACAACACUUGACGGAAUCUGCAAAACAACACUUGAAGCAAUGUAUAGAGGUUGGCAUUUAUGCUGAAGACAAGCUACUAUGAAACAAAAUCAGAUCCUUAGUAAAUGAAGUCUAGGAUCUGCAUACUUAACAAAAGAAUAACAAAACGUUUGGAAUUACAGUUAAAUAUAUGUUAGUGUGCUCUGUAUGGUUAUUUUAUGAUAGCAAAAAAUUGAUGUACGUCCUGCGGCAUGUGUCCUUCUGUAUCCCCAAAUAAAGCUGCGCCCUCUCAUUUUUAUGAUUUCUAA
Molecule: long non-coding RNA, 1701 nt
Organism: Panicum virgatum (switchgrass)
Lineage: Eukaryota; Viridiplantae; Streptophyta; Magnoliopsida; Poales; Poaceae
Exons: 4
Source: RefSeq, a predicted model, not a curated record